This 227-nucleotide non-coding RNA is filed under the name Halobacillus sp. Its description in RNAcentral is "T-box sequence". It matches the Rfam family "T-box leader". Rfam says of the family: Uncharged tRNA acts as the effector for transcription antitermination of genes in the T-box leader family. T-boxes are found upstream of many aminoacyl-tRNA synthetase genes and some amino acid biosynthetic genes usually in Gram-positive bacteria. The anticodon of a specific tRNA base pairs to a specifier sequence within the T-box motif, and the NCCA acceptor tail of the tRNA base pairs to a conserved bulge in the T-box antiterminator hairpin. The record is from RNAcentral. Lineage: Bacteria; Bacillati; Bacillota; Bacilli; Caryophanales; Bacillaceae.
AUAUUUUCGUUGACGAGAAGAGUAGGCUUUAUUCCUGAGUCUGUAGAGAGUCGCUGGCCGGUGAAAAGCGAUGACCGUAUAGAGCUGAAGAUCAUCUCCGAGAAGUUCUGCUGAAAUGUUGAAGAGUAGGGAGAACCGGUUGACGGCCGUUAUCCGUUAUGUGAACCAAGUGCCGUGCAUCAUUGCACGGAAUAUGGGUGGUACCGCGGAUCCAAUCCGUCCCUGUU